RNAcentral lists this ribosomal RNA (301 nucleotides) under uncultured bacterium. RNAcentral's name for it is "partial 16S ribosomal RNA". It matches the Rfam family "Bacterial small subunit ribosomal RNA", at positions 509 to 808 of the family's 1533-position model. The record is from RNAcentral.
CAGUAGCCACGGUAAUACAGAGGGUGCGAGCGUUAAUCGGAUUUACUGGGCGUAAAGCGUGCGUAGGCGGCUUUUUAAGUCGGAUGUGAAAUCCCUGAGCUUAACUUAGGAAUUGCAUUCGAUACUGGGAAGCUAGAGUAUGGGAGAGGAUGGUAGAAUUCCAGGUGUAGCGGUGAAAUGCGUAGAGAUCUGGAGGAAUACCGAUGGCGAAGGCAGCCAUCUGGCCUAAUACUGACGCUGAGGUACGAAAGCAUGGGGAGCAAACAGGAUUAGAUACCCCUGUAGUCCCUGUCUCUAUACA